AGCAGCCGCGGUAAUUCCAGCUCCAAUAGCGUAUAUUAAAGUUGUUGCAGUUAAAAAGCUCGUAGUUGAAUUUCGAGAUCAAAUUGUUGGUCGUGCCUUGGUACGUACUGGCAUUAUUGGUUUCUCCCUUCUGACGAACCAAGAUGUCAUUAAUUUGGUGUCUUGGGGAAUCAGGACUGUUACUUUGAAAAAAUUAGAGUGUUUAAAGCAGGCUCGCGCUUGAAUACAUUAGCAUGGAAUAAUGAAAUAGGACGUUUGAUUCUAUUUUGUUGGUUUCUAGGAUCGACGUAAUGAUUAAUAGGGAUAGUUGGGGGCAUUAGUAUUCAAUUGUCAGAGGUGAAAUUCUUGGAUUUAUUGAAGACUAACUACUGCGAAAGCAUUUGCCAAGGAUGUUUUCAUUAAUCAAGAACGAAAGUUAGGGGAUCGAAGACGAUCAGAUACCGUCGUAGUCUUAACCAUAAACUAUGCCGACUAGGGAUCGGAUGAUGUUAAUUUUUUAAUGACUCAUUCGGCGCCUUACG
Molecule: ribosomal RNA, 521 nt
Filed under: uncultured Glomus
Lineage: Eukaryota; Fungi; Glomeromycota; Glomeromycetes; Glomerales; Glomeraceae
Description: SSU rRNA
Rfam family: Eukaryotic small subunit ribosomal RNA
Source: RNAcentral